UCGAAUUGUGUUAAAAUAUCAGUACAAAAAAUGCGGAAAACAUGAAUUCGAUUUUUUUGUUUUUAGUUGUAUUUUCAUUGGUUUUUGCGCACAUCGAUGAAGAUGUGCCCCGACCGAAACGAGGAGCGUCGGGCGCUCUGCACAUAGUGACGAAUCAUGCGCAGCCCAUACACGCCGACGUCAAAUCAGAAACUUCUACUGAUAAUGUUGAAAAAGUCUCUAAUGAACAGGUAACACCACCAGAAGAUGGACUAACAACAUAUGAAGUAAAAUCACUAAGAAAAUCUUUGUCGUUCGCGCCGCCGACAACCCUAACAUUAAUACGAAGCGUCAGCAGGGUUGUCACUCUAGUAGUUCUGUUCGUGUCCGCCAUAUUGGAAUUCUAUCCGACCUUCCAUAGUUUGAUCACUACUAUCAUUAGAUUUAUGAAUUCGAAAUAAAUAUUUGA
Molecule: long non-coding RNA, 448 nt
Organism: Helicoverpa armigera (cotton bollworm)
Lineage: Eukaryota; Metazoa; Arthropoda; Insecta; Lepidoptera; Noctuidae
Exons: 3
Source: RefSeq, a predicted model, not a curated record